This 434-nucleotide ribosomal RNA is filed under the name uncultured bacterium. RNAcentral describes it as "partial 16S ribosomal RNA". It matches the Rfam family "Bacterial small subunit ribosomal RNA", at positions 29 to 507 of the family's 1533-position model. The record is from RNAcentral.
AGCGAACGCUGGCGGCAGGCCUAACACAUGCAAGUCGAACGAACCUUUCGGGGUUAGUGGCGGACGGGUGAGUAACACGUGGGAACGUGCCUUUAGGUUCGGAAUAACUCCGGGAAACUUGUGCUAAUACCGAAUGUGCCCUUCGGGGGAAAGAUUAAUCGCCUUUAGAGCGGCCCGCGUCUGAUUAGCUAGUUGGUUGAGGUAAUGGCUCACCAAGGCGACGAUCAGUAGCUGGUCUGAGAGGAUGAUCAGCCACAUUGGGACUGAGACACGGCCCAAACUCCUACGGGAGGCAGCAGUGGGGAAUCUUGCGCAAUGGGCGAAAGCCUGACGCAGCCAUGCCGCGUGAAUGAUGAAGGUCUUAGGAUUGUAAAAUUCUUUCACCGGGGACGAUAAUGACGGUACCCGGAGAAGAAGCCCCGGCUAACUUCGUG